CCUACGGGGGGCUGCAGUGGGGGAUAUUGGACAAUGGGCGCAAGCCUGAUCCAGCAAUGCCGCGUGAGUGAAGAAGGCCUUCGGGUUGUAAAGCUCUUUUGUCAGGGAAGAAACGGCUGUGGCUAAUAUCCACGGCUAAUGACGGUACCUGAAGAAUAAGCACCGGCUAACUACGUGCCAGCAGCCGCGGUAAUACGUAGGGUGCAAGCGUUAAUCGGAAUUACUGGGCGUAAAGCGUGCGCAGGCGGUUUUGUAAGUCUGUCGUGAAAUCCCCGGGCUCAACCUGGGAAUUGCGAUGGAGACUGCAAGGCUAGAAUCUGGCAGAGGGGGGUAGGAUUCCACGUGUAGCAGUGAAAUGCGUAGAGAUGUGGAGGAACACCGAUGGCGAAGGCAGCCCCCUGGGUCAAGAUUGACGCUCAUGCACGAAAGCGUGGGUAGCAAACAGGAUUAGAUACCCGAGUAGUC
This 465-nucleotide ribosomal RNA is filed under the name uncultured bacterium. Its description in RNAcentral is "bacterial SSU rRNA". It matches the Rfam family "Bacterial small subunit ribosomal RNA", at positions 338 to 795 of the family's 1533-position model. The record is from RNAcentral.